UACAGAGGGUGCAAGCGUUAAUCGGAAUUACUGGGCGUAAAGCGUGCGUAGGUGGCCCGUUAAGUCAGAUGUGAAAUCCCUGGGCUCAACCUGGGAACUGCAUUUGAGACUGGCAGGCUAGAGUGUGGUAGAGGGUAGUGGAAUUCCGCAUGUAGCGGUGAAAUGCGUAGAGAUGCGGAGGAACACCAGUGGCGAAGGCGGCUACCUGGACCAACACUGACACUGAGGCACGAAAGCGUGGGUAGCAAAC
RNAcentral lists this ribosomal RNA (250 nucleotides) under uncultured bacterium. RNAcentral's name for it is "partial 16S ribosomal RNA". It matches the Rfam family "Bacterial small subunit ribosomal RNA", at positions 524 to 773 of the family's 1533-position model. The record is from RNAcentral.